This 477-nucleotide ribosomal RNA is filed under the name uncultured bacterium. RNAcentral's name for it is "bacterial SSU rRNA". It matches the Rfam family "Bacterial small subunit ribosomal RNA", at positions 31 to 507 of the family's 1533-position model. The record is from RNAcentral.
GAGAACGCUGGCGGCGUGCCUAACACAUGCAAGUCGAACGGAGAGGACAUGAAGUAUUUCGGUACGGAAUGCUCUCUUAGUGGCGAACGGGUGAGUAACACGUGGGCAACCUGCCCCAGACUGGGGGAUAACAUUGUGAAAACAGUGCUAAUACCGCAUGACAGGGUUCCGGGCAUCCGGGACCCUUGAAAGGAGAAAUCCGGUCAGGGAUGGGCCCGCGUCCAAUUAGCUAGUUGGCGGGGUAACGGCCCACCAAGGCGACGAUUGGUAGCCGAACUGAGAGGUUGAUCGGCCACAUUGGGACUGAGACACGGCCCAGACUCCUACGGGAGGCAGCAGUGGGGAAUAUUGGGCAAUGGGCGAAAGCCUGACCCAGCGACGCCGCGUGAAGGAUGAAGGUCUUCGGAUUGUAAACUUCUUUGAUCAGGGAAGAAAGAAAUGACGGUACCUGAAAAACAAGCCACGGCUAACUACGUG